UGGUCAUCCCCAUCUGAAAAUUAUGUUUGAGAAUUCCAAGUCUUCCAAGGACUUAAACUUACCUAUAAUUAGACCGUAAUGGCCGCACCUAAAUUUGAUGAUCCAUGAAUGCGUGCUUGCAAGCGAGACUUACCUGCUCUUGGCAUUAGUUCAAGCAACUGAUCACUGGGGCCAUUGAGAGCACCUCCCUUCGCAAACAAAAGUUGGCAAAGGUUGGACAAGAACACCAUAGUACCAACUAAGUGAACAGUAAUUUUUCCAAAAAUGUGUGUGUUUGUGUGUGUGUUUUAUAUUUUUUUACUUUUAACGUUCCCUUAUAAUAUUGUAUAAGGAUUCCCCCAAAAGAUAAAAGUUUAUUCUAAAAAGAAUCAGUCAAAGACUGGAACUAUCUUCUUCUUAUAAUAAUGGCAUUAUGGGAGUCCACUAUAAUACGGGGACAGUGUUAUGGAGGCUUCGGUAUGUAGUGUGAAGACGUGGAUUUCCUUUGCUUUAUGUCAAGAAUUUGGGUUAGGUCAGCCUAACUAAACCCACUUAUCUAGCUGUUGAAACUUUAAGCAUGACACGUAUUCACGUAAUUAUGAGUGUGCUCCUAUUGAAUUGGCCCUUACCCUAGAAUGAUGUAAUGUUAUGCGAUGCGACUUGACUCAGUUGCAUUGAUAUGUAAAAGAAGAAACAAUGAUUUCAAACUUUCCCAACAAAUGUGUUCCACGCCGUAUGCCAUCUUUGCUCUCCAUCAGUAUGUUUUUUUUUUUGAUUAAACAAAGUCACAGGCAACUCGCGUGCGAUUAUUUUAAGCUCUCUUGACAUCCAAGUCAAAGCUAUACAUGUCCAACUGGAGCCUAUGCGUUUGGUGCGUGCAACGAAAGUGACGCAAUUAAAUUUGCGCUGAUCUAAUUGAUGAUAUACCCUCUAAAGUCUAAAUAAGCAUUUGCUAAUUUUUAUUCAGCUACAACCAAAAAAGAAGGAAUUUUUUUAUCAAAUAAUAUAAGUUUAUGGAUUAAGACAAGCAUAACAUCCACGGACAGUGUGUGAACACAUGCCAUGGUUUUGUGUGCUGAUAAUGGAAAGGUCAACCAAUACUAGCACUUAGCAUAUAAAAACAUGUGAGUUUUGAUUGAGAUUAAAUAUUUGAAUAUAGUGGCAUUCUCCUUGGCGAUUAUGUAAUUUAGUGGAUAAUGUUCAGGAUUUAGUGGCAAAGGAGAAAAUGCACUUAGUGUUUGGUUACGGUGUAAAAUUUGGAGGGACAAGAAAAAAUUAUCUAGAUAAGUUUGGAAGAAUAAGAGUUAUUUCGUGGAAUAGAAAAUUUGCUUGUUUGGUUGAAUGAAUAAGUUUAGGGGUUAUUUGAUCUGGAAAGAUAUGAUGAGAGAAUGGUAUUGUUUUUUAUGGAAUGGUUUGGAGUUGUUGAAAUAUCGACACCCUUUCUCCUCUAGCUUGUCUAACCUACACUAAUUCUACUCGAUGGGACUAAAAUUUUAUUAAAGUAAAUUAGCAUAGAUCGAUUUAAAGAUUUUUGUGAUGGAAAUGAGACCCAAUAUAGUUUGGACAUGUAUAUAAAGGUGCCCUAUAUUAAAAAGUUACAUGGAACAAAAUUUCAUUUCAUGAUAGAAUUAUAUCAUAUACACAUUAUUGACAACCCAUAUGCAACAUUGUGAAUACAAUUAUCAAAAUACACAAUUGAUAACUCAUGAUAAUGAAAUAUUUGCGGAGAAAAUUAUACAUUCUACAUGUCAUAAUACAUACAGACAAUUU
Molecule: long non-coding RNA, 1749 nt
Filed under: Phoenix dactylifera (date palm)
Lineage: Eukaryota; Viridiplantae; Streptophyta; Magnoliopsida; Arecales; Arecaceae
Description: long non-coding RNA (PDAC_LNC003117)
Source: RNAcentral